GGUAUCGCAGUAGACCCCACUAAAGUUGUCACUGUGACAAACUGGGAAGCACCAGCAACAGUUGGAGAAAUCCGGAGUUUCCUUGGACUCGCAGGAUACUACCGGAGAUUUAUUGAAAAUUUCUCGAAGAUUGCGAAGCCUAUGACAGAGUUGUUGAAGAAGGAUACUAAGUUCAUUUGGACUGAGGAGUGUGAGGCUAGUUUCCAGGAAUUGAAGAAACGUUUGGUUACCUCACCAGUGUUAAUUCUGCCAGAUCAGACUAAGGAUUAUGAAGUGUAUUGCGACGCUUCACGUCGAGGACUU
Molecule: ribosomal RNA, 303 nt
Filed under: Triticum aestivum (bread wheat)
Lineage: Eukaryota; Viridiplantae; Streptophyta; Magnoliopsida; Poales; Poaceae
Description: partial small subunit ribosomal RNA
Source: RNAcentral